AAAGGAUUUGCUAUUCCUCCAUUUUGGUGGAAUAGUGCUAUUUCAAUGCUUAAUUUCAAACUUAAUUAAAAUUAUAAAUUGAAUUAAAACUAAAUUAUAUAAAUAUAAUAUAUUAUAUAUUAUAAUACAUUAUUUUUAUUAUAAAAUUAUUAAUUGUACUAUAUUAAUACAUAUUAUUUAUAUUUAAAUAUUAUAAUAAAAUUUAUAAUAAAUUAUAUUUAAAUAUNGAAUUAAAACUAAAUUAUAUAAAUAUAAUAUAUUAUAUAUUAUAAUACAUUAUUUUUAUUAUAAAAUUAUUAAUUGUACUAUAUUAAUACAUAUUAUUUAUAUUUAAAUAUUAUAAUAAAAUUUAUAAUAAAUUAUAUUUAAAUAUUAUAAUAAAUUCUUUUUAUUAAAUUUAAGUUUAAGUAGAAUUUUAAAAAAAUUUAAAUUUAAAAGGAUAAUAUCAUUACUUUUUUUAAAAAAAUUAUUAAAUUUAAAUUUUUAAAAAUUCAAAUUUAAAUAUAAUAAGAGGAUAAUAUCAUUACUUUUUAUUUAUAAAACCCACUAUCAUUCUUAUUUCAUCCUACCUAACCAAAUGCUAUUUUUUUUAUUCACAGAAAUAACCCAAUUUUCCUCCAAACACAAAAUUGAUCUAAUCCCCGCUUAUACCUCAAUUUAUACAUAUUCCUGGAAUAGUCACUUUUUGCUUAUCCCCGAACCAAACAAUACUUAACAGUUUCAAGGUCCGGACACUAAUGUAAGGUCCGGACCUUGAACCUGUCACAAGUUUUCGAAAUCCUAUUUUUUCAAUCCUAACCCGAUUCUAAUCUCCU
RNAcentral lists this long non-coding RNA (815 nucleotides) under Ananas comosus (pineapple). RNAcentral describes it as "long non-coding RNA (ACOM_LNC002301)". The record is from RNAcentral. Lineage: Eukaryota; Viridiplantae; Streptophyta; Magnoliopsida; Poales; Bromeliaceae.